AGAGCAUCCAGCUGCAACAGCCUGGUUUUCAUCUGCCUUUUCUCCCCAUGGAUAUUGUCAGUCACUUCAAUCUCAGCAAUCCUUUAUGUCAGACUUUUUUUAUCCAGGGUUUCUCAAUAUUUUGGAGAGAGAUACAGUUUUUAAUGUGACUUUGGUAUAAAUUCCUGGGCGUUCCUGCAUCUCUCUGUGCAUAUUUCCCACGUGUUUUUCCUUUUGCUCACUCCUAUUGAUUUUUCCUGUGCACCUUUUGUUUUGCUUUGUCGGUAGAAGUGGUAGACGGGGGGAAAAAAGGCUUCCAAUUUCUGCUUCUAUUUUUAUUUUUGCAUUACCUUUUCCCUUCUGUCUCUUUGCUUCUCAGCUAGGUCUCACCAGGAGUGACAAGGCAUCGCUGAGGGUCGAUGUCAUCAGUAUUUGCACUUCCUCUGUGAGGGACAAAUGUCACGGAAACAGGUGCAAAAUAAUCUCCUGACAACACCAUAAUCCCUAUUGUGGCAGAUCUUUGCAAGGUCAAACUCUGACAAAGAUUGUGUGCAAUUUCCAAACCUAGCCCUGGAGAAGAGCAGCACAAUUUAGAAUCAUCAGGACAAGAAGAGAUGGAAACUUGGCGUUGACCUUUUGAUCUUCAACUCUGUCUUGCUGACCUGGUUGUGUGUCCCUGGCAUCUGCUGCAGAUGGACAGUAGGAUGUUUCUCCCAUGUCCUGCAGGCAGUGCUGUUGGAAAGACUCAGGUCACUUUGUGCACUCAGUGACACAAGCGGCUCUGAAAUCACAAAGAACUGCACAUAAUAAAACACCUCCUUCAUCUUGGGCCCAGCUCUGCUUUCCCAGUCAUUGGUACUUUUUCUCAAUCUCUAUUUAAUGUCAGCUUCAUCUAUUUUAAUUCACUCCAAUACUCCAAAGCAGAAGCAGCUGAAACACCUAUUUCUGCAAUUAGUGCAAUCUUGCUCCUGCCUGAUAAUCUUUUCUCCAAGCUGCUGCCUGCUACCAGAAGUGCUCCUACAAGAGAUCUGUUCCUUCAGUUUAGUUCAGGAUAACUGAGAGCAAUUUAACCUUCAGAAGCAAAUACUGAUGGAAAAGUGCUAUGUGAUCCCAUUUUCAGAUGAAGACAGUAAAGUAGGGACAGUAGAACACCAGAUUUCACCUUUUCUGUACUGAAUUUCGAGGUCAUUAUCUAUUACUAUUAGGUAAUAAAAAAUUAAGUAUUACUUAUUACUAUUAGGUAAUAAAAACCUGUCUGUUCAUCA
This is a long non-coding RNA of Pseudopipra pipra, 1244 nucleotides long. RefSeq lists it as uncharacterized. The transcript has 2 exons. The record is from RefSeq and is a predicted model, not a curated record. NCBI's taxonomy places the organism in Eukaryota, Metazoa, Chordata, Aves, Passeriformes, Pipridae.